UGCAUUAUGAAUCAACGCGAUUAUUAUUUCUGAUAAAUACAUCUAAGAUCGGGUGCAAUUUUACAUGUCACUUGGGUGCUAAGCGGAUGAAAAUAAUCAGGGGUGUAUGAUAAUUUAGCUUAUGCUUAUAUGAUAUACGUCAGUCGAGGAAAUAUAAAAUACGAAAACUCUCUGUACCACGGAAAUAAAGAAUAAAUGCCAUUCAACUACUACGAUAAACAUAAUAGGGAUAAAGAAAAAAAAAAAAAAGAAAGAAAAAAAUACAGUUGUAAUACUCAGAUGUAAUAUAAAUAAUCUAAUCGUCAUUUAUGAAAGAUAUUAUACAUCUAUAUGUGCAUAUAUAAUCGGUGUAUGUAUGUGUGUAAAUGUACAUAGGUAUGUACAUAUACAUAUAUGCAUAAACAUGCGAAAACGUGAAAUAUUAUAUAUGUACAUUAUAGUAUAUGACUAUUUUCUUCUAUGGAUAUUGUGAAUGAUUGAUGUGCGUGUUACGUCGUCCACGUUCAAGGCAUAUUGCAAUCGAUCUAAAGAAAAAUUGGAAGCAAAAUUAUCGUCAAAUAAAGUGUUAAAUUGAAACAAUCGAAUCAAGUGACGUUAAAGAAAAAUAUCUGAGAAUUUAUUUCAACAGAAUCAUUUGGUUUUCUUCGUUUUCCGAUACACGUAUACAAUUAGACAAAAGAUUGCUUUUCUUUUACAUUAGCUGCAUACAGCGCAUAAUUAGAUUAACAAAAAAUUCAUAACGAACAGCACCGCGAUAGCAGUGUGCCUUAACGAUGGCUAUCUCAGCACCGAGUUACGCUAAAAAAAAAAAAAUAAAUGAACUCAACUAAAAUACUAAAAAUAAUGAUGAAAUAAGUAAAUUAUAUAUAAAAAAAAAAAAGAAAAAACACAUAAAGCGUAUGAAACAAAUGUAUGAUGUGUAAGCCAAGUGCCUUGUGUUCUGGUAAAACUAGUCGUCGACCUCUAUCUACGAUAUAUCGAAAAAAAAGAAGUAAUACUAAUAUAGCAAUGAUGACAACAGCAACUACAACAACAACAACAACAGCAACAACAACAACAAUAAUGAUGAUGAUGAUGAUAAUAAUAAUAAUAAUAACAACAAUAACAAUAAUACUGAACUAUUAAAAGCUUGAUAAAUUAAAAAUGAAAUAUAAAAAUCAAUUUAGUAUAUUGUGUAAGUACUUGCCAAAAUCAGUGCAAGACGUACAGAUGUGUGUUUUCAAUGGGGAGAUCAUGUAAUACCCUUUUCCAAUGCCUGGACCCAUACCCAUGUACCCAUGAGGGUAAAAAUAUAGAAAGAUUGAAAAAUCGAAGGACUACAAGAUCGAAUUUUCAAAGAAGCCAUAACUCAAUUUAUGGAAUUUGAAAAUUUUGAAACUCGAAAUAUGGAGAAGUACAAGAUUAGAAAGGUUAGGCUAUAGACUGCCAAACUGUAGAAUCGUUAGAAUUUUUCUCGACAAUGUAGAAUCGCAUAGAGAUUCUCGAUUAUUACUCUGUUUCACGUUUUGAUCUUUCUGUAUUUCGACGAUCUAUAUUUUCAAUAUUCUGCGCUUGAACUUUCGACGUUUUAAAAUUUUCGCAUUUAUGAAAAUUCGAUAUUCCGGUCCUUUUAUCAAGCGGUAAUUCUAGUUUUUUUUUUUUGUUCUUUUCUUUUCUUCUUACCUCUACCAGAAAUUAAAUCUAAUGAAACCUGAAAUUUCGUUCAAAUCAUUUAUCGCAAACGCACAUCUAAAUACGUAACGUUUUUGCUUCCAACGCGUUUUCACACUUGACACGUCACACUUACUGGCGAAAAAACCUGCUGCGAGGCUCUACAUUAAAAUCCAUCUACCUAAUCGCAUAACGAGUGAAAACCUCCGCAGGUAUAAAGUAUUUUUAUGCAAAAAUCGUUGCACCUAAGUCCCUGCCCUUAUAAAUGGAUCGUGAGUGUUUCUAUUAUGUGCCCAAGCGUGUGUUGCAGUGAAAUGAAUUCACCAUAUUAUAUAUCUUCACGGUUGAUAAAGUUAUACCUAUUUACUAUGUAAGCUAUAGAACAAUUAAGGUGUUAAAUGAGUUCUGAAUCAUCGACAGUUGAAUUACUUGUAAUAAAUUACACACUUAUAUCGCGUAUCUGUAACUCAGUAAGUGGAGUGACAAGUGAGUGCUAGCCUGCUAGAUCAGUCUAGAAGAAUGAAUGCGUGCUAUUUUCAUUUUAUUCUUUCUUUCUUUCUUUCUUUCUUUCUUUCUUUCUUUCGUUCUUACUUUCCUUAUUCCCUUACUUUCUCUCCUAUCACUUUCUCAUUUCUGUAAGUGAAACACGAGGAUAAACAUUUAGCAUAGGUACCCCUGAACAAAGGGGUCUUUUUCAUUCAAUGCAGGAAUUGUUUCCGCGUUGUGAUAAAAUAUAUUUAAUGUCUUUUCUAAUCGUUAUUCUAUGUUUAAAAACAUAACCAAAAGGAAAAAAAAAAACCUAAUAAAACAUUGAUAAUAUAAAAAUUGAACAAAUUAAAUAAAUGAAAAUUAUACUAUUACUAUAUAUAUUAUAUAUAUACCAUAGCUAUCUUUACAAGGAAUUGAUGUACAUAAUUACGAUUCUGUAGUCACUAAGAAUGCUGAGAGCUUUUGCGAGAUGACAGACCCUGAAAUGCACAUGUGGGUGUAUUUUUGUUACCGUUACUUUAUUUUAAACUUGCAUUCAAUUACGUAAUGAAUUCAUAAUCAUUAUUGUUAAUUUUACUAUUAUUAUUCUCAUUUUUGUUGUUGCUGUUGUUGUUGUUAUUGUUGUUGUUGUUGUUGCUGCUGCUGCUGCUGCUGUUAUUCUUACUAUAAUUUUCACCACUCUCCGUACUACUACUACUACUAAUUGCUAUCAUUAUUGGCAAUGUAUUUAAAAUCUAAUACACAAUAAUAUUUUUAACUUCUCGCGAAUCUAUAGGUAUGUACUUAGGUGGGAGCUGAAAUUUGAUUAGAGAAGCGAAAAUAUUAAUUCUCUGCCGUACUUUUUGAUGAUUUGAAAAAAAGU
This is a long non-coding RNA of Diprion similis, 3001 nucleotides long. RefSeq lists it as uncharacterized. Lineage: Eukaryota; Metazoa; Arthropoda; Insecta; Hymenoptera; Diprionidae. The transcript has 3 exons. The record is from RefSeq and is a predicted model, not a curated record.